GUGGAUCACCCAGUUAAUGCCAGGCACAGCACUGCACACACACUGCCCAGCAAAGUGAGGCACUUUGCUCUUUGAACGAAAUAUAAAUAGCAAGAUCUAUCUGAGAUUUUGUUAGUAAAGAUAGAAGAGCCAGAACAAAACCAGAAUAUAGUCUGGUUUAAUACAUUCAUAUGCACAUUCUACAUUUGCAUAUGUAUAUAAAGGAAAGUGAGUCAGUUUGGUGCUCAUCACUACAACAAUCUUAGCCAAGUGUUAUGAAGGAGGCUGCAAUCCUCAGGGUAAUUCAGUAUAUACAUGAGCAUCCAAGCAGAGUGUGUCUGGGAAUGCCCACAGAGGUGAAGGAGUUCCCAGAGCCCCCGUUUCUCUCCCACCAAAUACCUGCAAUGAAACCCGCAGCCCAGGCUCCAGGAAUGCCUCUGUAGGGCCAAAUAAUUAACCAGAGCAGCGAGCUUUCACUACAAAAAUGAACCCAGCUACAUUUAUACAAACUUUUCUGCCUCACUAAUUACUUGCCAUCUGCAGUAAUGUGUUUACCUUCUCCUUCCUGAAGCUGGUAAUUCAUGUUUUUCUUUAUUGACUUCCAGGUGGCUGUUUUGGAGCCAACUCACCAGUUGAGUUGUCCAAAUCAUUUUGAAUUCAGGCCCUCUGGCUCCUCCAGUGCCAGGUGGGACAGGACCAUGAUUAUUCUCUCCUCUGGGCAGCAGAUCCUGGUGUUGGGUUUGCCCAGCAGGUAACUGAUUCAUCUUCAAUUCCUCUGUUCGUGUGAGGUGUUCCAAUUCCAGAGUAUCUGUUCUUCCACUAAAACAGACCCCCCUUCAGGCAAAAGGCUUUCUGGUUUUAACUCCUGCCAGCAAACACAGCACCCCUGGAGCAGUGGCCCUGGCAGAGCCUGGCCCCUGCCUGUCCCCAGUGGCCGCAGUCCCUCCCGGGGUGCUCAGCCCAACCCCUGUGCCCUGAGCUCACCCUGCCCGCUCCUGCUGGGAGGGAACGUGCCCAGCCCCAGGCAGAGCCAGCCCGGAGCACCGUGCCAGUGCUGGUGUGCCAGCGGUGUGCCAGCUGUGACAGAUGCUGGGGUGCCAGCUGUGUGCCAGCUGUUUGACAGCUCCUUGUGUGACAGCUGUGACAGCUCCCCAUGUGCCAGCUGUGUGCCAGCUCCCUGUGUGACAGCUCUGUGUGCCAUCUGUGUGACAGCCGUGUGCCAGCUCUCUGUGUGCCAGCUCUCUGUGUGCCAGCUGUGUGCCAGCUCACUCAGCUCACGCCUGGGAACAGCAGCACGAGCUCUGAGCAGGCAGGCACAGGGAUCACAGCCUGGGCAUUCCCUGUGCCCCAGAGCCACUCCUGCCACGGCAGCAAUGCCACAGGAACUCCCUGGUACCUGCACAGCAGAACAGAGCCAGGCCCUGCCCCGAGGUGCAGUCUAGCCCCAGCUGCCCGCUCCAGAGGGAUCUGCGGGGUGGCCCGGGCCCAGCAGGGUCACUGCUCGGGCUGCCCCGUGCCAGCAGCGCCUUUCUCACGGCUCCUGCCGGGCUGGGGAACAGGACAUUUGUACUUCUUGAUUGUUUUGAUUCCACUUUUGCCCUUCUGCCCGGCCUGAGGGACUGCUCCGUGACUGAAUUCAUUUCCUCCUGGAUGGAUUCGCUGCCUCGAGCAGCCCUUCCCAAAGCUUUCCAGCAGCAGCCCAGCCCAGCACCACCCUGGCUGCCAGGAUCAGUGCCCUGGCAGCUUCUGCCCUACUCCCAGGUCCCCAGGGAGCCACAGGCAUCGGGACUGUGCCUCGGAUCCACGCCGGGAAUGGCUGCAGAGAGGCUGGACCCACAGCAGGGGGAUGGAGGGUCCUCAGGACCCCACAGCAGGGUGGCACAGAGUCCCUGGGACCCACAGCCCUGCAGUGCCAAGCCCAGCACAAGGUGAGGUGACAAACAUCACUCACAAUCAGUGAAAGGGUGUCAGGAGGAUGCAGUCCCUUUAUGAUCACACACCCAGAGAACAGCGGUGGGGUUCCCCCGAUGGGGCCAUGCUCAGCUCCAGCAGGGCCCUGUGCCACAUCCCCUGUGCACCAGCCCCAGCUCAGCCCCUCUGAGCUCCCUGUGCCCCCAGCCUGGCUGCUCCCAAGUCCCCAACUGCUCCCACUUGCCCCUUGGCUCAGUGACAGAGGAGCAGAGCUGCCCUGGGGAGCAGGGGACAGGACAGCCUGGGGAGGACACUGUGUUUCCUUCCCUGUUGUUUUUUCCCUUAUGUUAUGCAGUUCCUGUGAAUCCUGGAUUGAUGAGAUGUGCAGCAAGCAUCAUUUAUGGCACCCGAGGGAUCAGCAGCCACUGCUGGCAAGGCUGGACCUGGCAGCACCCUGGCACUCCUGGGGCUGGAGCUGGCCCUGGGUGUGGCAGGAGAGACCGGGUCCUGCCCAGGCACCCGCUCUGCCAGGGUGGGAAUCAGGCAGCAGACCAUCAAAUCCACGUUUUUUCCUAAGCCUCCACCCACACUGCCCAGUGUGCCUGCUCCAUGCAGCCUCCGCUGCACCUCAGCCCCUGUGUCUCACAGCCACACACCCCACUCACGUUUGUGAACUCCACCAGGGGCACCACCCUCCUGGGCACCAACCCACAGCCCCGCCAGAAGGAGGGAAAAAGCUCCAGCUCAGGUAAAGGCCACCAGUCUGGACUUUAAAUGGUGAUGACAACUAUAAGUGAUAUUAAAAAACCCUGAUCUUCACAGGUUGUCAGCAAACCAGUCUGAUUCAUGCCCGUAUUUAACGUGCCAGCUGCUCUCUCCCCACUCCUGCCCCAUGGAAUUGCCACAGCCCCCAUGGCUCGUGGCUCUCCAGCUCAUUUCCAAGGGAAAUGUCAGUGCUGCACCCACAGCAGUGCCCUCCCCCACCACAGCAGCAGCUGCUCUGCAAACGCCUGGAGAAAGCCCUUUAUGACAGUAAUUUACAAUAUUAUUACCAUUCCCUGGCCAACUGCAACCAAUUCCAACGCCUGAGGUGAACUGAUGUGACAAAAAGCCAGCCCUAAAGCAGACAUCAAUAAUUACUGUCUUUCAAAAGGUUUGGUUUAGUAAAAAAAUAUCCAAAUCAACAUAACCACAUUUCUGCUUUGCCUCUGCAUCUCUCCAUGUCAUGCGCUUAGGAUAGUUUAUAUCUGCCAUGAUUUAGCCUGUUCCAAACACAAAUACUUCUGGGAACUACGGCUUGAGGAGGAUUAUUUCUGAAUCCCAGCUUCACUCUGAAGUCAAGACACAAUAACCCUCAAUCUUACCCAGACUUUGUGU
This is a long non-coding RNA of Taeniopygia guttata (zebra finch), 3267 nucleotides long. Lineage: Eukaryota; Metazoa; Chordata; Aves; Passeriformes; Estrildidae. The record is from Ensembl.